This 305-nucleotide ribosomal RNA is filed under the name uncultured bacterium. RNAcentral describes it as "bacterial SSU rRNA". It matches the Rfam family "Bacterial small subunit ribosomal RNA", at positions 338 to 636 of the family's 1533-position model. The record is from RNAcentral.
CCUACGGGAGGCAGCAGUGGGGAAUAUUGCGCAAUGGGCGAAAGCCUGGCGCAGCGACGCCGCGUGAGGGAUGAAGGUCUUCGGAUCGUAAACCUCUGUCAGCAGGGAAGAACGGUCACUGUGCUAAUCAGCAGUGAAUUGACGGUACCUGCAAAGGAAGCACCGGCUAACUCCGUGCCAGCAGCCGCGGUAAUACGGAGGGUGCGAGCGUUAAUCGGAAUUACUGGGCGUAAAGCGCUCGUAGGCGGUAUGUCAAGUCAGCGGUAAAAUUGCGGGGCUCAACCCCGUCGAGCCGUUGAAACUGG